RNAcentral lists this signal recognition particle RNA (289 nucleotides) under Cebus imitator (Panamanian white-faced capuchin). RNAcentral describes it as "Metazoan signal recognition particle RNA (ENSCCAG00000013698.1)". It matches the Rfam family "Metazoan signal recognition particle RNA". Rfam says of the family: The signal recognition particle (SRP) is a universally conserved ribonucleoprotein. It is involved in the co-translational targeting of proteins to membranes. The eukaryotic SRP consists of a 300-nucleotide 7S RNA and six proteins: SRPs 72, 68, 54, 19, 14, and 9. The record is from RNAcentral. Lineage: Eukaryota; Metazoa; Chordata; Mammalia; Primates; Cebidae.
AGGCACGGUGUGCAUGCCUGUAGUCCCACCUCCUCCUGAGGUGGGAGGAUCGCUUGAGUCCAGGAGUUCUGGGCUGCAGUGCGCUAUGCUGAUCGGGUGUCCGCACUAAGUUUGGCAUCAAUAUGGUGACCUCCCGGGAGUGGGGGACCACCAGGUUGCCUAAGGAGGGGUGAACCCGCCCAGGUUGGAAACGGAGCAGGUCAGAACUCCCGUGCUGAUCAGUAGUGGGAUCGUGCCUGUGAAUAGCCACUGCACGCCAGCCUGGGCAACAUAGCGAGACCCUGUCUCU